Molecule: ribosomal RNA, 1372 nt
Filed under: uncultured bacterium
Lineage: Bacteria
Description: bacterial SSU rRNA
Rfam family: Bacterial small subunit ribosomal RNA
Source: RNAcentral
GAUGAACGCUGGCGGCGUGCCUAAUACAUGCAAGUCGAGCGAACGGACGAGAAGCUUGCUUCUCUGAUGUUAGCGGCGGACGGGUGAGUAACACGUGGAUAACCUACCUAUAAGACUGGGAUAACUUCGGGAAACCGGAGCUAAUACCGGAUAAUAUUUUGAACCGCAUGGUUCAAAAGUAAAAGACGGUCUUGCUGUCACUUAUAGAUGGAUCCGCGCUGCAUUAGCUAGUUGGUAAGGUAACGGCUUACCAAGGCAACGAUGCAUAGCCGACCUGAGAGGGUGAUCGGCCACACUGGAACUGAGACACGGUCCAGACUCCUACGGGAGGCAGCAGUAGGGAAUCUUCCGCAAUGGGCGAAAGCCUGACGGAGCAACGCCGCGUGAGUGAUGAAGGUCUUCGGAUCGUAAAACUCUGUUAUUAGGGAAGAACAUAUGUGUAAGUAACUGUGCACAUCUUGACGGUACCUAAUCAGAAAGCCACGGCUAACUACGUGCCAGCAGCCGCGGUAAUACGUAGGUGGCAAGCGUUAUCCGGAAUUAUUGGGCGUAAAGCGCGCGUAGGCGGUUUUUUAAGUCUGAUGUGAAAGCCCGCGGCUCAACCGUGGAGGGUCAUUGGAAACUGGAAAACUUGAGUGCAGAAGAGGAAAGUGGAAUUCCAUGUGUAGCGGUGAAAUGCGCAGAGAUAUGGAGGAACACCAGUGGCGAAGGCGACUUUCUGGUCUGUAACUGACGCUGAUGUGCGAAAGCGUGGGGAUCAAACAGGAUUAGAUACCCUGGUAGUCCACGCCGUAAACGAUGAGUGCUAAGUGUUAGGGGGUUUCCGCCCCUUAGUGCUGCAGCUAACGCAUUAAGCACUCCGCCUGGGGAGUACGACCGCAAGGUUGAAACUCAAAGGAAUUGACGGGGACCCGCACAAGCGGUGGAGCAUGUGGUUUAAUUCGAAGCAACGCGAAGAACCUUACCAAAUCUUGACAUCCUUUGACAACUCUAGAGAUAGAGCCUUCCCCUUCGGGGGACAAAGUGACAGGUGGUGCAUGGUUGUCGUCAGCUCGUGUCGUGAGAUGUUGGGUUAAGUCCCGCAACGAGCGCAACCCUUAAGCUUAGUUGCCAUCAUUAAGUUGGGCACUCUAAGUUGACUGCCGGUGACAAACCGGAGGAAGGUGGGGAUGACGUCAAAUCAUCAUGCCCCUUAUGAUUUGGGCUACACACGUGCUACAAUGGACAAUACAAAGGGCAGCGAAACCGCGAGGUCAAGCAAAUCCCAUAAAGUUGUUCUCAGUUCGGAUUGUAGUCUGCAACUCGACUACAUGAAGCUGGAAUCGCUAGUAAUCGUAGAUCAGCAUGCUACGGUGAAUACGUUCCCGGGUCU